Molecule: long non-coding RNA, 3305 nt
Organism: Esox lucius (northern pike)
Lineage: Eukaryota; Metazoa; Chordata; Actinopteri; Esociformes; Esocidae
Product: phospholipase B1, membrane-associated
Exons: 16
Source: RefSeq, a predicted model, not a curated record
UAAUGGCUACAUAACUUGAACCAAAGCUGUACCUCUUCCCUUGUGCUACUAGUGCUGUGACGGAUUGUUUAUGCUUUCUGUAACAGGGCCAGGACUUUGUCACUCAGCUGUUUUGGGUGGGGGAUAGAAGGCUGACCUCAUAUAAUUGCUGUGCCCUCUGGCUAUGCAUCACAUUGUGCUGUUCCCACCAACCCACACGCCACUAUGGGGUGGCUUUUGAUUACCGUGGCAAUCUGUGCACUAGCCUCCUGCUCUGUCAAAGGCAACAAGUGGUGGUGGCAGUAUGAGGAAGGAAUACGACAGUACAGCCAAGAGUCUCUCCACAAGGAGUUUCCAGAGAAAACCAGACCUGUGAACUUCACACAUCCUCCAUUUCGAUGUCCAGACAUGACUCGCUCUCCCACCAUCCCCUCCUCAGUCGAGUUGGUGAAGGCAGCGGACAUCAAAGUAAUUGCUGCCCUCGGGGAUUCUCUGACGACCGGCAUUGGCGCUAAUGCUACCAACGUCCUUGGGAUUCCUAUUGAGUUUCGUCACGUGUCAUGGAGCAUUGGAGGCCAUGGAUCUUACCAAGAUGUCAUUACUUUAGCAAAUAUCAUCCGUCUGUUUAAUCCGAAUGUCCUUGGCCCUGCUCCGGGACACACUGUACACGGAACCUCAGCCCCCCUCAGUGAGACGGGAUUCAACCUGGCUGUGACUGGACACAAUACCUUUAAUCUCCCAGGGCAGACCAGACAUCUCAUUGACACUCUAAGAACCUAUAAGGGCCUGAACUUUGAUGAGGACUGGAAGCUGCUGACCAUUCUCAUAGGCAUGAAUGACAUCUGUGACUAUUGCAAGGAUAAGGUUCUUUUUUCAGUGGAAAACUACAUUCACUACAUGAUGAACGCCUUGGAGAUGCUAAUGAAUGAGGUUCCCCGGAUGAUCGUGAACGUGGUUCAGAUCCUGCCCAUGGAGACCCUGAGGCAAGUGCAGAGGCCCACGCCGGGCUGCCUGCUACAGCGGUCGUUCUGCUCCUGUCUGAUCAAGCCUAAGGCUGGAUCGCCUGAACUGAAGGAGCUGGUGCAGAUCAACCUAGAGUUUCAGAAGCGCCUGGAGCAGCUCCUCUACAGUGACCACUUCUUCAGGGAGGACUUUGCCGUGGUUCUCCAGCCCUUCCUGAAACAUGCAGACCCUCCUCGCCUCCCGAGUGGUAAGAUUGACAUGAGCUUUUUCACCCAUGACUGCUUCCACUUCACCAUUAAGGGCCAUGAGGAGCUUGCCAAAGGGCUGUGGAACAACAUGUUUCAGCCAGAAGGAGGGAAGUUUAUGGUGUCAAGCUUUUCUGACCCAAUCCAUCUAAUUUGCCCACCCAUGGAUCAUCCUUACAUCUACACCCGACCUGCUGCUGCCAAAAAAGGCGAGUCCACAAUGCCAGUUGUACCCAAUUCCACUGCUCCGAAAUGGGCCACCCUCCUUUUGGCUCCCCUUGUGAUCCUUGGUGCUCCUCUGGCCUGGGGACUCACUGCUUUAGCCUCUCUUUAGCGCUCUCUAUAUAACACUCUAAUACACUGUAACGUGGAAUGAACAUUGAUAAAAUCCCCGGUACAGUUGUAAUGACACUGGGAGUUUUUAUUUUUUUUGUUAUUGUUGCUGCUCUUACCUGCAUUGUCGGGUAGCACAUGGUGCUUUGGCCCUGGACCACAACCAACCACUGUUUGCUGUGACUGUAAAGACAAAAAGACAAACCUGAACUGGAAUGCAGAACUAGGAGGUAUACAAACGUGAACUGGAGGACAAUGGGAUACGUGCCAUUUGGUGACAUCCAAAACACACAGAAUGACACAUGCUGCUUUCCAAAUGUAGUGCUUUUCCCUCUUCAUUAUUCAUCUAAUUCCGCCUGUUCAUCAUUCAUCUAAUUGUGAACCCCUUCUGCAGUGAGAAUCCACCCCAAACAAAUAGACCAGGUGAUAACUACAUUUAGCUCAUCCUACUGUAGGCUGUUUGCUCUGAGAGGUGAAAUCAUUUUACAUUUUGUGGUUCCUUUAGAUGUGAAAUGGCAAUAACUGCAUUAUAGAAUUCAGUGUAGGGGAUUUACAUUGCAAGUUUAUUUUUGAAAGAAUGUUGUAUCAUAGAAUUACAGAGAUAAUGUGAGGGCUCCUAUGAUCUUCUGUGGGCAUAAACACUGUUUUUACAGGUAACCUGAGAACACCUUUUCCUUAGGAAAAAAGCCUUUUACAAAAGACAGUUUGAAGCCAGUGUUUUUGACUAUGCACCAUUAAUUGAUUUUAACGCAAAAAUACUGUACUGUAAACUUUUUGUCAGAAUACUGUACUGUAAAUGGAUUCAUGAACUUGAGGAGGCUUACAGCAUAACCAUGUCUAUUGGCUUUAAGGGACAAUAAUCUGGCAAAUAUUUGCCUGGAAAUUGUUAAAUGUGUACCAUCUGAUCAAUACUUUUAAAUGUAUUGAUCAUUUAAAAGUAUUGAAAUGGAUAUAGAUAUCCUAAUGUCACUGAUAGGAGAGUGGCAUUAUUUUCUAAAAGAAAACCGACAUUUAUAAUUUGACAAAUUUAAGUUUAAUCAAGCAAGUGUGGAAGUUGAUCAAUGUCUAAAUAUUUUGAAACAAAUUCAGCACGUCACAAAGUUAAGCAGGGUACAUACAGAGGCAUUUAGAUUGUAGAUGUUCUCACUGUAGUGUUAAUUGCGUCUCCUAUUUUAGUCUUUUAUUCAGUUGCACAAGAGCCCUAAUGAAGUGGGACAACACUUAUUGACUGUGAACAUGAUGGGAGGUAAGAGGUAGCCUAAAUAUGCAUUAUUUUAUCGGGCAAAAACAAAAUAACUAAAUUGUGACUAAAAGCCUGUUUUUACUAUGCAAUAAUGCAUAUUUAGGCCAUCUCUUACUUCCAUCAUGUGUACAAUCAGACAGCCUUGUUCAAGUACAGUAGAAAUGUUGUUCGGGGUUAUAGUGGAUUGAGAAAAGAAAUCAUGACUAAAAUGAAAAAAAAGCUGCCAAAAUGUUGUACAUCAACCAGUAGGAGACAUUCUGGCAGGAAUUGUGAACCAUCACUGUUUAAUAUCACUAUACUUUAUAAUUUAGGUUGAUGGGAUGACGUUGAAAGAAUGAAGGUGAUUUAAAUGUCAUUUUACUGUCAGAAUUGAAACACCAAUAUUAAAAAUCUGAACCAUUUAUUGAAAUUUGGAUGAGAACAAUGUUUUACAUUUGUGUUAUGUUUUAAACAGCAUAUGUAUACACAGUUGAUGAUUAUGAUGAAAUGGUUUGAUGUAAGAACCUGCUAGCACGAUUAAGCAGUUGUAUUUAGUUUGAAGA